AGCGGCGGACGGGUGUGUAACACGUAGGAAUCUGCCCGAUAGUGGGGGAUAGCCCGGAGAAAUCCGGAUUAAUACCGCAUACGCCCUAGGGGGAAAGCAGGGGAUCCGUUCUCUUCGGAGAGUGGACCUUGCGCUAUUGGAUGAGCCUGCGUCGGAUUAGCUAGUUGGUGGGGUAAAGGCCUACCAAGGCAACGAUCCGUAGCUGGUCUGAGAGGAUGAUCAGCCACACUGGGACUGAGACACGGCCCAGACUCCUACGGGAGGCAGCAGUGGGGAAUAUUGCACAAUGGGGGAAACCCUGAUGCAGCCAUGCCGCGUGUGUGAAGAAGGCUCUAGGGUUGUAAAGCACUUUCAGUGGGGAGGAAAGGUUAUUGGUUAAUACCCAAUAGCUGUGACGUUACCCACAGAAGAAGCACCGGCUAACUCCGUGCCAGCAGCCGCGGUAAUACGGAGGGUGCGAGCGUUAAUCGGAAUUACUGGGCGUAAAGCGUGCGUAGGCGGCUGCCUAAGUUGGAUGUGAAAGCCCCGGGCUUAACCUGGGAACUGCAUCCAAAACUGGGCAGCUAGAGUGCGGAAGAGGAGUGUGGAAUUUCCUGUGUAGCGGUGAAAUGCGUAGAUAUAGGAAGGAACACCAGUGGCGAAGGCGACACUCUGGUCUGACACUGA
Molecule: ribosomal RNA, 666 nt
Filed under: uncultured bacterium
Lineage: Bacteria
Description: bacterial SSU rRNA
Rfam family: Bacterial small subunit ribosomal RNA
Source: RNAcentral